RNAcentral lists this ribosomal RNA (565 nucleotides) under uncultured bacterium. RNAcentral describes it as "bacterial SSU rRNA". It matches the Rfam family "Bacterial small subunit ribosomal RNA", at positions 358 to 916 of the family's 1533-position model. The record is from RNAcentral.
GGAAUUUUGGACAAUGGGGGCAACCCUGAUCCAGCAAUGCCGCGUGUGCGAAGAAGGCCUUCGGGUUGUAAAGCACUUUUGUCAGGGAAGAAAUCUUUUGGGCUAAUACCCCGGAAGGAUGACGGUACCUGAAGAAUAAGCACCGGCUAACUACGUGCCAGCAGCCGCGGUAAUACGUAGGGUGCGAGCGUUAAUCGGAAUUACUGGGCGUAAAGCGUGCGCAGGCGGCUUUGCAAGACAGAUGUGAAAUCCCCGGGCUCAACCUGGGAACUGCAUUUGUGACUGCAAGGCUAGAGUACGGCAGAGGGGGAUGGAAUUCCGCGUGUAGCAGUGAAAUGCGUAGAUAUGCGGAGGAACACCGAUGGCGAAGGCAAUCCCCUGGGCCUGUACUGACGCUCAUGCACGAAAGCGUGGGGAGCAAACAGGAUUAGAUACCCUGGUAGUCCACGCCCUAAACGAUGUCAACUGGUUGUUGGACGGCUUGCUGUUCAGUAACGAAGCUAACGCGUGAAGUUGACCGCCUGGGGAGUACGGCCGCAAGGUUGAAACUCAAAUGAAUUGACGG